RNAcentral lists this unclassified non-coding RNA (347 nucleotides) under soil metagenome. Its description in RNAcentral is "partial contains 5.8S ribosomal RNA, internal transcribed spacer 2, and large subunit ribosomal RNA". The stretch from base 1 to 120 matches the Rfam family "5.8S ribosomal RNA", at positions 35 to 154 of the family's 154-position model. The record is from RNAcentral.
GAUGAAGAACGUAGCAAAAUGCGAUAAGUAAUGUGAAUUGCAGAAUUCAGUGAAUCAUCGAAUCUUUGAACGCACAUUGCGCCCGCUGGUAUUCCGGCGGGCAUGCCUGUUCGAGCGUCAUUUCAACCCUCAAGCCCCCGGGUUUGGUGUUGGGGAUCGGCUCUGCCCUUCUGGGCGGUGCCGCCCCCGAAAUACAUUGGCGGUCUCGCUGCAGCCUCCAUUGCGUAGUAGCUAACACCUCGCAACUGGAACGCGGCGCGGCCAUGCCGUAAAACCCCAACUUCUGAAUGUUGACCUCGGAUCAGGUAGGAAUACCCGCUGAACUUAAGCAUAUCAAUAAGCGGAGA